CUCCCUUGAAUUUUCCAUCUCCAGAACUUCCACUUAUGGAACUAUCUGAGGAUUUUCUGAAAGGACUUAUGAAUAAUUAAAAUAGAAGGCUUUUGGAGAGAUCAGAAGAAAUUCAGCAACACAGUUGAAAAGAAGAAAAAAUUAAAAAGGUAAAACCACAUACAAGGGUAAUUCCAGAUGUGCUUUACCAUCUGGCUGACUGGCAGAAGCAGCAUUGCCAGGAUGUGGGAAACAGUCACUGUGAAAUAUAUUGCAUAUCCGAUCUACCCACUCGAGCUAAGGGUUCCCACCUGGCAGACAGUAAACUCUUGGAGAUUCAUUUUCUCCUGAUACAAACCAAAUGGGUACCUGGAAUAAUUUUCUCAAGCACCAAUUAUUUUUCUUCAGGGUUAAAAUGUAUAAAAGUAUGUUAUAUAUAAUUAAUCUAUAAUGCCAUAAAUGAUAAUGUAAAACCUAAAUAAUAUGGUGGCCUGAGGGGCUGCCUUGUAUUUGAAACAUGCUUUCUAUCAUGCAUUGACUAUAUGCAUUUUUAUGCACAUUUUGUUUGUUUAAGUAAGGUGUGUAGGAUAUAUACCUUUCUAGAUGAAACUAUAUGUGCCACAUUUUGCACUAAUAACAUAAUGAUAACCUCAAGACUACCAGGAGAAGUAUUUAAAUUUCCAUUUUAUGAAGAAAGGAACCAAAUUAUUAGUUAUGCUAUUUUUAAAAAUUACCAGUUUACAUAAUUAAUCAG
Molecule: long non-coding RNA, 733 nt
Filed under: Marmota monax (woodchuck)
Lineage: Eukaryota; Metazoa; Chordata; Mammalia; Rodentia; Sciuridae
Source: RNAcentral